Molecule: long non-coding RNA, 494 nt
Organism: Anguilla rostrata (American eel)
Lineage: Eukaryota; Metazoa; Chordata; Actinopteri; Anguilliformes; Anguillidae
Exons: 2
Source: RefSeq, a predicted model, not a curated record
UUCAAAAACGUGCUUGAGUUUGAAACGAUUAAUCAAUCCAUCAGCGGAGAGGGGCGAGGAAGAAUAUACAAAUAAUUAUUUUAAAAAAAGGACCACAACCUUGAGAUUCUGACUGAGCAUACCGUGUGUACCGGGAACAGAUAAGGAGGAGCAGAAUUGACUGAGGUCGGCAGAAGAUUGAGAUGUGGUCUGAGAACUUCUGGCGAGUUGGACCGCUUUUGGCUGACUGUCCAAUCAGGUCUCCACUUUGCCGAAAGUCCCUUCCGGGGGCCUGUAAUGCCUGGGGAAGGCCUUCAGCUGCAGGGAGUUGAAAGCGUACUUGCGGCAUCCGACGUUCUUCAUGGUGUUCUCCCGCCGACAGCCCUCGCUGGAGGUGGCCAGGGCGGCGGGGCAGCAGGAACACGGAGGGCGCGACCGCGAAAAAAGCAAACGGGACAGAGCAAAAACAGCCGUUGUUAAAAGACAAUAAACACCCAAAAACCAUAGAACUAUUA